RNAcentral lists this ribosomal RNA (365 nucleotides) under uncultured bacterium. Its description in RNAcentral is "bacterial SSU rRNA". It matches the Rfam family "Bacterial small subunit ribosomal RNA", at positions 46 to 392 of the family's 1533-position model. The record is from RNAcentral.
GAAUUCACUAGUGAUUCAGGCCUAACACAUGCAAGUCGAGCGAUCUUCUUCGGAAGAGAGCGGCGGACGGGUGAGUAACACGUGGGUAACCUGCCCUGUACACACGGAUAACAUACCGAAAGGUAUGCUAAUACGAGAUAAUAUGCUUUUGUCGCAUGGUAGAAGUAUCAAAGCUCCGGCGGUACAGGAUGGACCCGCGUCUGAUUAGCUAGUUGGUGAGGUAACGGCUCACCAAGGCGACGAUCAGUAGCCGACCUGAGAGGGUGAUCGGCCACAUUGGAACUGAGACACGGUCCAAACUCCUACGGGAGGCAGCAGUGGGGAAUAUUGCACAGGGGGCGAAAGCCUGAUGCAGCAACGCCGCG